UUUUUUUUUUUUUAAAGACGGAAUCUUGCUCUGUCGCCCAGGCUGGAGUGUAGUGGCCGGAUCUCAGCUCACUGCAAGCUCCGCCUCCCGGGUUCACGCCAUUCUCCUGCCUCAGCCUCCCGAGUAGCUGGGACUACAGGCGCCCGCCACCUCGCCCGGCUAGUUUUUUGUAUUUUUUAGUAGAGACGGGGUUUCACUAUGUUAGCCAGGAUGGUCUCGAUCUCCUGACCUCGUGAUCCGCCCGUCUCAGCCUCCCAAAGUGCUGGGAUUACAGGCUUGAGCGACCGCGCCCGGCCUCUUUACCUGUCUUUUAGGUCCCUGACUGUAUUCGUCUGUUUUCACACUGCUAUCAAGGUACUACCUGAGACUGGGCAAUUUAUAAACAAAAGAGGUUCAACUGACUCACAGUUCUGCAUGGUUGGGGAGACCUCAGGAAACUUACAACCAUGACAAACCUCAGGAAACUUAAAAUUAUGAUGAAAGGCAAAGGGGAAGCAGGCACCUUCUUCACAAGGUGGCAGGAGAGCAGGGAAAACUGCCACUUUUAAAACCAUCAGACCUUGUGAGAACUCCCUAUCACGAGAACAGCAUGGGGAAACAGCUCCCAUGAUCCAAUCACCUCCCACCAGGUCCCUCCCCUGACACAUGGGGAUAACAAUUCAAGAUGAGAUUUGGGUGGGGACACAGAGCCAAAUCGUAUCACUGACACCAUCACUGAAGCUGGGAAAAGGGCACAUGGGGAUUCAUUGUACCAUUCUCCAUACUUUUGAGUAUUUGUGAAAAUUCCAUAGUGAGGUCUUUUAAAAGCCACUCUUUAAUACAAGAAAUGAAAGAAAAACAUGGUGGGUUAUCCCAACUACACCAAUCCCACCAGUCUGUGAACCUGAACGAGAGCACAACCACUAAUAAAUAUGUAGCAUUGCCCACUAUCUCAUGGAUGUGUCCUCAAUAACUGGCCUGUUUUAUGUGUCAUCAUACAAUUUCAUAUAUGAAACUCAUUUCACUUGAUCUGAAGCUGAAAGAAGUAUUAAACAACGAGCCGGAAUUAUUUCCCAAACUCCCACUGGUGUUAACAACAUGACAUUAUUUUCAUUGUUCUAUGGGACCGAUACAUUUGGGAAAUCUGCAAGACUUGCUGUUUUAUUUUUUAUUUACUUAUUUUGAGACGGAGUCUUGCUCUGUCACUCAGGCUGCAUGCAGUACAGUGGCGAGAUCUCAGCUCACUGCAACCUCCACCUCCCGGGUUCAAGCAAUUCUCCUGCCUCAGCCUCCUGUCGCUGCGGCUACAGGCAUGUGCCACCAUGCCCAGCUAAUUUUUUGUAUUUUUAGUAGAGACAGGGUUUCACCAUGUUAGCCAGGAUGGUCUCGAUCUCCUGAUUUCGUGAUCUGCUUGCCUCGGCCUCCCAAAGUGCUGGAAUUAUAGGUGUGAGCCACCGCACCAGGCCAAGAGUUGCUGUUUUACUGCUGGAAACGGUAUCAGGGAGAAAAGAGGGCAGAAUUUAGGAAGAAAAAAAGAAGUGUUUUCUUGAUCCUUAUCCCAAAAUGAGUUUAAAGUAGAGAAUCAGAGCGCAAACAAGUUAUCCAAAAGUGUUAUAUAAGAGCCCCACUGACUUGCAUGGAAGUAAGCAUUACCUCCCCACAUGCCACCUAGCCCACC
Long non-coding RNA from Macaca fascicularis (crab-eating macaque), 1657 nucleotides. The record is from Ensembl. NCBI's taxonomy places the organism in Eukaryota, Metazoa, Chordata, Mammalia, Primates, Cercopithecidae.